This 252-nucleotide ribosomal RNA is filed under the name uncultured bacterium. Its description in RNAcentral is "partial 16S ribosomal RNA". It matches the Rfam family "Bacterial small subunit ribosomal RNA", at positions 524 to 776 of the family's 1533-position model. The record is from RNAcentral.
UACGUAGGGGGCUAGCGUUGUCCGGAAUUACUGGGCGUAAAGCGCACGUAGGCGGCUUCUUAAGUCGGUGGUGAAAUCCUGGAGCUCAACUCCAGAACUGCCUUCGAUACUGGGAAGCUUGAGUACGAGAGAGGUGAGUGGAAUUCCCAGUGUAGAGGUGAAAUUCGAGAUAUUGGGAAGAACACCGGUGGCGAAGGCGGCUCACUGGCUCGUAACUGACGCUCAGGCGCGACAGCGUGGGGAUCAAACAGG